CUGUGUUGUCCCACAAGAGGCUGGAAUCUCAAGUCUCUCUAAGUCUUCCGCCUGUCUUUGCUUUCCAACCCCACCGAUCCUCCAGAGCGCAGCACGUGUAUGAACACCAACCAGCCGAGAAAACUGGAAUGAAGAGGAGAAGCUGUGAUGCAGGAACAUCUAGUGUAAAACUGAGAGCGGCCGGAUGUGGAUCCCUGUGUUGUCCCACAAGUGGCUGGAACCUCAAGUCUCUCGAAGUUUUCCGCCUCUCUUUGCUUUCCAACCCCACCGAUCCUCCAGUACACACCACAUGUA
Manis pentadactyla (Chinese pangolin) is the source of this 294-nucleotide long non-coding RNA. RefSeq lists it as uncharacterized. The transcript has 3 exons. The record is from RefSeq and is a predicted model, not a curated record. NCBI's taxonomy places the organism in Eukaryota, Metazoa, Chordata, Mammalia, Pholidota, Manidae.